RNAcentral lists this long non-coding RNA (6869 nucleotides) under Malus domestica (apple). RNAcentral's name for it is "long non-coding RNA (MDOM_LNC009334)". The record is from RNAcentral. Lineage: Eukaryota; Viridiplantae; Streptophyta; Magnoliopsida; Rosales; Rosaceae.
GAGACAGAGAAGAGUGGAAAUCCGUGAGGAGAGGGGGGGGAGCUGCCUUUGGGCAGCUCGCAGACAGACGCAGCGGAACAGAAAAAUAAUUGGGGGAGAGAAGAGACUGACGUGGGCGCAAGAAGGGAGCACGGGAAGGAAAGAAGACAGUACGGGGAGAGAGGAAAGGAAAAGCAGGAAACGGUGAGGCGCAGCGAGAGGUCAGGAGGUCAGGAGGUCAGCACGCAGAAAGGAAAGAAAAUAAGAGGCCAGUGCACAGUAGGCGCAGGAAAGAGGAGGAGAGACUGACACGGGACUGAGGGCAGAGACCAGCAGAAAUGGGAGCAACACAGAGAAAAGUUUCACUCCAUUUUUCUUGGUUUUAUCUUCUCAAACUCAUGUUUAAUUUUUGGUUUAAUUUUAGAAUAAUGCGUAGCUAAAUUUAUUUUGGCUAGAGGUUAAUUCAAAGCCAUGAAUAUAUUUGUAAUAUGAAUUGAUUACCUUCGGUUGUGAUUUCAUAAGUUGUGAUUUCAAUUGACUUAUCUGUUCGUAUAAAAACUGAUUUGUGUAUGUUGGUUGAGAGUGCACGCUUAAUUUACAUGCAUGAAUUUGAUGCUAGAAUAUAAGUGAAUUUCACCUAAUCGUUAUGAACUUAUUUUCACAAGUAGUAAAGGUUGCUAGUCACAAUCACGUUAAGUAAAUUCUUGGCAAGAGUAUCAUGCUUUUCAUAGUUACGAAUGCCUCGUCAAUGCUUAUAGUUUUCACAAAGUUUAAUGAUCUUUGAUUGUAUCUCUAUUGUGCUUUUCACGUAGGGGACUUUUGAAGAAUGUUUUGAAUUGUUGUAUGCGUUUUCCCGUCCAAUUCAAUAACUUAAGGAAAACUUGAAGAUUAAAAAAGUGCUGUUCACGGUUAAUCUGGAGUAUUGAAAUUCACAAUUUAUUGAAAGAACAACUGAAAAUCAAUUUAGGUUGCAUAUGUGUCAUGUGUGGAGAAGAACCCUCUAGCUAGUCUGUCAUUUAUCAUUUUACCUUAAUUUUAUGUUUUUGUCAAUUCUGUAAUUUAAUUAAGUUUAAUUUACUUUUCAUCAAAACCAAACACCCAUCCAUUAUUAAAUUAUAUUAUUUAGUUAGUUUGCUUUAUUGUUAGUCUUUUAAUUUAAUUUCCGUCCAUUUCAGUUCCUAGUGUUUAAUUUAAUUGUUUUCAUUGUUUGAGUCAUUUUAAGUGUGUUUCGAGUUAUUAGAGUUUUUAGCCUAAUUUUGUGUCCUUGAGUCUUAUUUAAUAUUUUUAAAUUAAUUUAGAAUAGAUUAGCAAUCCCUCCUAAUCCCCGGCCUAGAACGAUACCCUACUUACAUCUAUACUACAAUUGUCAAAAAGAGGGUUUAAUUUGUGUGUUAAGUAAUUUCUCGCAUCAAAUUUUGGCGCCGUUGCCGGGGAUUAGCAACUUUGCUAAUCCUUUUAUUUUUGUUUUUGUUUAUGUUUAUAUUGGUGUUUGUGUAUUUUACUUUUGAUAUUUGAUUUAUUUUUCUUUCUUUGAUUUUAGGUUCAAAUGGAGCCGAGGGAAAUUUAAAGGAAAGAUGCGUCCGGCUAAAGACGUUAAAUCAAGCGCUUCUUGGGAGGCAACCCAAGCAUUCAACGAAGGGAGACUUUGGAAUCGCUAACCCAAUCAGCUUUGCAUUCUUCCAACCUUAUCUUUACUGCUUUCAUUUUGUUUUGUUUAGUUAGUUGUGUUAUUUGGUUGAUUUCUGUGAGUUUGUGUUAUUUAGUUUAAGUGUGGGGGAAGAUUAACCAAAGUCUCUUUACAUUAAUUUACAUUUAAAAAGAAAAAAAAAAAAAGAUAAAAUUUAAAAUUAAUGAUAAAAAAAAAAUUACAUAAAAAAAAAAAAAAAAAAAUUUAAAAAUUAAAAAAAAAAAAAAGUACAAAUAUUUUACAAUAAUGUAAACUAAUAGUAUUCAUUGGUCGGGUGGUGCUUCGGUAGUAGGCGGGGCUUCAGUAGUCGGCGGGGCCACAGAAGGAGGAGGCAGCAGAGGUUGAUCAGUUGGAGCUUCACUACGCGGUGCCGCUCCAGAAGACGAAGGCAGAUGCGGUUGGAACAAACCCACAAACCUCCGAUGAUCAAGUAAAAUUUGACCAUCGGUGUCCUGCAUCUGGUCAAUCUUUCUCUUCAUGCUGGUGGCAUAAUUGUGUGCAAGCUUGUGCAAUUGUUUAUUUUCAUGCUUGAGUCCUCUAAUCUCCUCUUUGAGACUCUGUAUUUCAGCCACCAACGAUUCAACGUGACGGGUUCGAGCAAAUAGGCGUUGGGCCAUGUUGGAUACGGAACCGGCGCACUGCACGCUAAGUGCCAGAGACUCCUUAACCGCCAAUUCAUCAGACCGCCUAGCGAGCAGUCUGUUAUCUCUGGGGGUGACAAGAUUCCGGGCCACCACCGCAGCAGUCAUGUCAUUUUUCAUCACCGAAUCCCCCACGGUAAGGGGACCGGUAGGGGAUAUGAAGGAUGGCCGCCAUAUGUUGUCUGGUGAAGGCGGAGCUGCCUCUUCACCAAUGUUCAAGUCAAAACGACGAUCAGAAGGGCCAGACAUUUUUCAGAGGUGGUGAAGAAAGAAGAGAGUCGGAAUGAUCAAGAUUAAACAAGUGCAAGAAGGGAGUGUUUACAGGAGGGAGCUCAAGUGUGUUGUGGAACAAGCUUAGCGCCUCUAUAAAAAGAAGAAAUCGGAGAGGCGCUCCUCAGAGAAGCGUCCUCUCGCAAAUCGAAGAGUCGGGGCUCCUUUCUCAAAAGCCGGAUUCUUUUCUCAAAAGAGGAGUUUCCGUUCUCAAAAACCGGAUUCUUUUCUCAAAAGAGGCGUUUCAUUUCUUAAAGGCUGGGCUUGCUCAGAAACAAUGAGCCGAACCCCGGAUUUCAAAAGAUCAAUUUGUCCAGACGUGUCGUCACUUGUCACACGCAAAUUGCUUUGCGAAAUUCUCGGGCAGUUUGUCGAAGCACCAAUUCAGAAAUCAAAGAGGGAAAUUCAACAGUCAAUGACACGCUAGCUUUCUCAAAAGCUGGGCUUCAACCCACGGGCAAAUCUUCUUUUCCAGAUUUAUCCGCACGUGUCACAUGCUACCUCUACAAUCGACGAUGCUCAGAGCUCGAAGCGCCGAUUCCAGAUAUCAAUGAGGAAUCUGCUUUGCGGAAAUUACGGGCAACUUUGUCAGAAAGCGCGUAAUUUGUACUAUUCAUCCAUCUACCGGCUGCCGACACUAAGUGAGAGAACAGUUCCGGUUGUGAAGACAAGUCCUAUAAGUUUCUACCUUCGCCUUCCACAGCAAAAGCACACUCUCUCAGCACACCCUCUCAACACUUCUUCAUCUCCGAAAAUGCAUUCCCAAAGAACCCUCUCGAGUCACUCUGUAUUCCUCAUUCCUUGGGAUACUCCUGCGAACAACCCAUUCAAAGCAAAAGUAUUUCAUAUCAUGAAGGUUGAAAGCAAGAGUAUCUCAUAUCAUGCUUUCUCCCUGUCCUUUCUCCAGCCAGCACCUGCUCUCGAGUACUCAUCAUCUUAUGUUUCCGCUUCGUCUCUCACGUAUAAGGGAAGUGAAGAUGAUACCUCGAAGCAUGUGGAGACAACGUGCUGAUUCAUCCUCAACUAAGGACAAGGAGAAAGAGAGCAAGAGGUGGGCACUUGGAAAGAUUGAAGAAAGAAACAGACCAAUACCUCUACCUCGUGCCUGCCCGCCAUGCAGAGGAAACAAGCAGAGAAGAAUGCAGCUUGCGCAAUCAUCCCAGCGGAAGGAGUCUGAGAUGAAGAACAAGAGAAGCUGCCACAUCUGCUUGGAGAACAAAUAAGGAACUGCAACAUUCCCAAAGAGCAAAGCUCCGCCGUACAAUAUCAUCAAAUCAUCACUUGCAAGUAAAAGCUAAGUGUCACCCCGUUCAAGAGGAAAGCUGUGGAAAGUCAACAAGCACGACUAAUGAUUACUUAUUAGUUUUAUUCAUUAUCUUUUAUCGUAAUUUUCAAUUUUUCGUUUGCAAUUUUGUUUUAAUUAAUUUUCUUGCGUACUUAACUGAAUUAUUUCUUUUCUUUGCAGGAACUUUUGGUUAUUUCCACCCUUGAAGUUGAUUGCAGAAUUUUAGCUUGGGGGUCAUCGCUUGAUUUUACUGCAAAUUAGGGAAGUUUUCAGUCCAAUUGCUUUAUUUUGUUUCUUAUUAUUUAUUUAUUUUAUUUUAUUUUUAUUUGCGUUAUAGUGUUUUCUGACAUUGGGGACAAUGUCAAGUUUAAGUGUGGGGGUAGAAAUCUCCAGAAUUUCAUUUGUUUCUGUGUUGUUGUUUUUUGUGUUCUUAAUUAGUUUUGUUUUCUUUUAAAAAAAAAAUAAAAAAAAAAAACUGUGUUGUUGUUUUUUUGUGUUCUUAAUUAGUUUUGUUUUCUUUUAAAAAAAAAAAAAAAAUUUAAAUUUAAAAAAUUUCGGAAAAUUUAAAAAUCCAAAAAUAUUGUCUUGUUUCCCUUAUUGUUUUGAAUUAGAUUUUUGUUAGCUUCCCGACCCAAUGAUAUAAUUGGAUCAAAUUUGAACCAUGAUCAUCAAGAACUUAGUUAACAUGUGUUUUGUGAAAUUCCUAAUUCUCUUGUUAGUUUUGUACAUGUUUGAUCAUCUUUGAAAAACCAAAUGCACAUAGCCUUGUUGAUGUGAAACUAAAGCAUGACUUAAAGCUUCAUAUGUGAAUUUAGUGACCAUAUACAUCCUAUGUGAGUUUUUGAGCCUAUUGAAAGUGUGUGCAUUUUUCAUACACUCCUAUUCUUUUCAUGUGUGAUGAACUUAUGUGAGAUACAUCUCUAGAACUUGCGUAAUGAUCUUUCGAAAUGUUUGUCAUUGAUUGCAUGAACUUGGAAAUGAUAGAGGCAUUAGGUUUACCACCAUGGCCCAAAUAACCAUGUUUCCCAAAGAAAAAUGAUAUCAUUAGAUUGCCAAUUUGAGCCGUGUAUGUUGAGCCUUUUAUUUCUUAUCACCAGAUAUGUCUACCCUUAUGCCUGAAACAUUUUUCCUUACCCUUUCCAAGCGAGCAAUGCGAGAUUGUCCUAUGAGAUACGUUUGUGAAGUACUUUGAAGGUGUUUGGCAAAAGAAUAAGUGUGGGGGUAUUUCAUGUUUGUAUUUAAAAAAAAAAAAAAAAAAAAAAAAAAAAAAAAAGAAAAAGAAAAAGAAAGAUUGUAUACAAAGAAAAUAAAAAGUUUUUAAAGUUUCAGUUUAAGGGUGUGGUUGGAGGUGCGAGAAGAAUCGCGGGAAAGCUUGAGUUCUUAUAAAUCUAAACAAAAGAAUUGCUUGCAAUGUAGCUUGGAACUUGUGUUUUCCUAUUCUUCCGUUUCAAUAACCCUAUCCCUAAGCCUCAUUACGUCCAAUAAAAGUCCUCUUGAUUUAAGUUUUGCAAUUAUGAUUGUGGAGAUGAGAUCUUUAUGCAAGCUUAUGGUAGAAAUUUCACAUUUGAUUCUUUGAGCGAAACACAUUAAAACUAAACACAUGUGUGAUUGAGUGAAUAUUCAGUGAGAAGGUCGCUAGUUUGCAUAUGAUGAUUUUAAAAUAAAAACUUGAAAUUGCAUUAGCAUGGCUAUCUCACACACUACACUUCAAGGAUGAUUCAAAGAUUACUGCUAAUAUUUGAAUAAGAAAGAUGAACUUGAAUUAGUUUGUUUGAUGCUUGCUAUGGUUCUUGAUGAUUUGUUUUCUUAAAAUGAAAUUCUAUGAGGGUCACAUAGAGGGAAGCUAAUGUUUUUCUUGUUAUUACUUUUUCAUGUUUUCUUUGUUUUGCUCGAGGACUAGCAAAAGUUAAGUGUGGGGGUAUUUGAUCGGAUCAUAUUUAUAUAUAUUUUUACUUCGAAUUCACUCGUCUUUUCUUAGUUAGUUCCUUAUAUUUUUGAGCUAUUUAUGUUAUUUUUGUGUUUAUAGGAUUUGUUAUGCAAAGAAAAUAAAAAUAGCAUAAAUGAGUUUUAAAUAAUAAACAGAAAGAAUAUUGAUUUUAUUUUUGGAUUGGGUUUUAUUUUGGUUUAUUUUAUAUGCAUUGAAUUGAUUGUUUCAUAGAAUAUUGGUUUUGGAUUUGUUACUUGAAUUUGUUCUUAAUUCCGAAACUGCUACUAAUUUAGAGUUUAUGAUACAAAUCAAUUUUGUAUUAUAUUGUGAAAGGAGAAUCCAAGAAGGUAGGCUGCCAGCGGAAGAAAAGUAAAAGGUCAGAAAAGAAAAAUAAGGAGACAGCUGGGGGAAUAAUUUUGGAACAAGAGGAGAGAUAGAAGGGAUUGAUGCGGGCCCUUGCAGGUGGAAAGCUGUGAAGACCGACAGAAUUGAGGGCAGUGAGGCAGCCAGGAGAAAAAGGAAAAUAAAAUAAGGGAAUCCAAGAGAGAAAAACGUGCAGGACUGAUGAAGUAAAUAAAAAAGAGAGGAAAUGGGCGCGGAAAAAGGCAGCUGCCUUUGGGCAGCGCUAGGAAAUAGAAUAGGAAAAACAAAGAGACAGAGAAGAGUGGAAAUCCGUGAGGAGAGGGGGGGGAGCUGCCUUUGGGCAGCUCGCAGACAGACGCAGCGGAACAGAAAAAUAAUUGGGGGAGAGAAGAGACUGACGUGGGCGCAAGAAGGGAGCACGGGAAGGAAAGAAGACAGUACGGGGAGAGAGGAAAGGAAAAGCAGGAAACGGUGAGGCGCAGCGAGAGGUCAGGAGGUCAGGAGGUCAGCACGCAGAAAGGAAAGAAAAUAAGAGGCCAGUGGCACAGUAGGCGCAGGAAAGAGGAGGAGAGAGAGUGGCGACGGGACACGGGACUGAGGGCAGAGACCAGCAGAAAUGGGAGCAACACAGAGAAAAGUUUCACUCCAUUUUUCUUGGUUUUAUCUUCUCAAACUCAUGUUUAAUUUUUGGUUUAAUUUUAGAAUAAUGCGUAGCUA